AGGGAUGCGAAGUGUGCCUUCAGUAUUCUGCUCUUCAUCAUAGCAUGGUUUACUUGGCCCAUAGCUGUUUAGGAGCAGAGCAGCAUGGUUUCAGGAGCAGCUGUGAUCCUCUUUCACAUAUGAGGCAACAGGCCCAGAGAGGCUGGUCAGUUUGCUCAAGGACCCCACCGAGGAUCCAGUGAUAGUAGAAAUUUGGUGGUCCAGACACUCGGCAGUGUUGGGGAGGAUGGAGCUUCAGGUCCACCUUAGACCCACGAGCCUACACUUUGAAAAGACCACCGAACCCGAGCUGACAUCCAUGCUUUAGCCAUUUCGUGAACACUUCUCUUAGCUGAGUUUCACCAAACGUGCCGCACACCUGGAUCCACUCAUCCAUCCGCUUAGGCGGGGCCGGUGUGCUUCUGAGUGCUGCCGUGCGCGAGGAGCGGGGACCUGAGGGAGAUGGAGCCUUGGAACAGGAGUGGGGGGGGUUUAGGGUCAGACCCCACGUGUUCAGGUGCUGGCUCCACCCCUUCUUGAGUUAGUUACCCACCUCUGCGGCUUCCGUUUCCUGAACUGUGCAGGCUGGGAUAACAACCUGUCUCCAGGGGUUUCGGUGAAGACUAGCAGGAUAACACCUCGAAAAGCGCUGGGUGGACACUUCUUCAAGGACCAGAUCAGCAAGCAGAGUCACCUUUUGGAGCCACCGCCCGGGUCUGCCUUGAUGGGUCAGCACCACGGAGAGCAGCUCACCUCACGCCCAACCCUGGAGCACUGUCCCUGUGGCGUCUACACUUUUGGUGACCGCAGAGGGAUGCAGAGCAGGCUUCUCUCCGUUGCUGGAACGCGGCAGCCUCCAGAGCCGAGGUACCUGCGGAGGCGGCUCGGGCCUCUCCUUCUCCGAGCGUCCAGUUGCACCGGGUGAGUCUCCUGUGCUUCUCCAUCUCUCAUUAUUGGCUGCUGAUUCUAGGUUUUAUUCGGUGGUGUUAAACGCCUCUCUGGAGGCGCAGGAGGUCCUCCUGGAAGCUUGGUUUCAAGAAGAGGUGUUUGGCUCAUGCUCAGGUGCAGACACUGGCCAGAUGCUCUUGCUCCGCGUGGACGCUGAGUGGGCUGCCCUCAGCUGUCAGACCGGGGAAGGCCCCGUCGAGAGACACCCAGGGGGCUGGACUCAGGUCACCGGGAGGAAGAAUGGCCGGCUGCGGUUCCCGGAACGGGUUACCUUCCUGGGGUUUGUCGGCGUCACAGGGAAGAUACCUCCCGAGGGCUUUCACCUCCAAAGAAGAGAGAGGCUAAGAACUCCCUCAACUGACAACAGCAGACUGGCAGACCGCUCUGGGAAGCCUCAUUUGUGGUCUCUGCUUCCUCUCAGUGAGUCUUUCGGAUGUUAGUAAGACAUGAAGAUAAUUCAUGUUAAUUAGGUUGAUGAAUAAGGAAGUAAGAAAAAGAGAAGACAAAGUUUAAAGACUUCUUCCCCCAAAGGUGGAAAUUUGGAAGAAUCUAUCCCCAAAAGUAAAUAAAUCCCCAAAUUCCUGC
Sus scrofa (pig) is the source of this 1512-nucleotide non-coding RNA. NCBI's taxonomy places the organism in Eukaryota, Metazoa, Chordata, Mammalia, Artiodactyla, Suidae. The record is from RefSeq and is a predicted model, not a curated record.